CCAACGGCUCUUUUCAGAGCCACCUACAUAACUCAAAGAGCUUGG
Molecule: non-coding RNA, 45 nt
Organism: Mesocricetus auratus (golden hamster)
Lineage: Eukaryota; Metazoa; Chordata; Mammalia; Rodentia; Cricetidae
Source: Rfam